UAAUUAAAGGUAAAGUACUAUUUAAUAUCAAUUAUAUAUCCAAUUAUUUACUAAAAAAAUAUUUACUUUAAUAGUGAAAAGGCUUUUAGAUGCAUGACAUCUGUCAUUACUUCAAUAAUAGGCCAAAAGGAAAACUUAAAUAAGAAGGUUACAAUUUGAUUGGAGGGAUUUAUUGCAUGAAUUGAUAUCCACUUAUACCAAUCUUCAACACCGCCUUUUCCUUUUCACAUACUAUUAAAAACACCAAGAGAUUGACAUUAAUCUCUGCAUCAGAAGCUCAAUCUUUCCAUGGCUCACACCUUCAAGUCUUCCACUUCUACCACCAGGUCCACCACCAACACCACCACCAGGUCCGCCACCACCAUCACCAGGUCCACCACUAAGCCCAUCACCAACAAAAUAGACCAUGAUCAAAAACAGAAGAAAGUUGUAACUUUUUCACCAGCAUCCAAAUCUCUAACCAGUCAAGUCCACCACCACCAUCACCACCACCACCACCACCACCACAACCACCACCACAAAGCACCAGAAAAAGCCCUCACUAAACCAAAGCCUAAACUAGCCAUGGCACAUGCCGCGGCUACCACCAAGGCCACCACCACCAAGGCCACCAUCAAGUUGGGAAAAGGAGUAGAAGUCAAAGUGACAACCAAAGAAACAGCUUUCAAAGGUGGGAAAGUAGCUUAUAUCACUUAAUUGCAUGCAAGUUCUCACUUUAUAAAGUCGAUGCUGCAGAUGUGAAGGAAUCUAUAGUGGGUUCAUCAUCAGAUCUUGUAAUGUGUUGGGAGAAUUAUGUAUAAGUUUAUUUUACUUUUGGUUGUAGCAGUUGGUGAACAAAAUAACAUCUCUUUUAUAAUUGUGGUUUCAA
Molecule: long non-coding RNA, 868 nt
Organism: Mangifera indica (mango)
Lineage: Eukaryota; Viridiplantae; Streptophyta; Magnoliopsida; Sapindales; Anacardiaceae
Exons: 2
Source: RefSeq, a predicted model, not a curated record